RNAcentral lists this ribosomal RNA (484 nucleotides) under uncultured bacterium. RNAcentral describes it as "partial 16S ribosomal RNA". It matches the Rfam family "Bacterial small subunit ribosomal RNA", at positions 30 to 507 of the family's 1533-position model. The record is from RNAcentral.
AUUGAACGCUGGCGGCAGGCCUAACACAUGCAAGUCGAGCGGAUGAAGGGAGCUUGCUCCUGGAUUCAGCGGCGGACGGGUGAGUAAUGCCUAGGAAUCUGCCUGGUAGUGGGGGAUAACGUCCGGAAACGGGCGCUAAUACCGCAUACGUCCUGAGGGAGAAAGUGGGGGAUCUUCGGACCUCACGCUAUCAGAUGAGCCUAGGUCGGAUUAGCUAGUUGGUGGGGUAAAGGCCUUCCAAGGCGACGAUCCGUAACUGGUCUGAGAGGAUGAUCAGUCACACUGGAACUGAGACACGGUCCAGACUCCUACGGGAGGCAGCAGUGGGGAAUAUUGGACAAUGGGCGAAAGCCUGAUCCAGCCAUGCCGCGUGUGUGAAGAAGGUCUUCGGAUUGUAAAGCACUUUAAGUUGGGAGGAAGGGCAGUAAGUUAAUACCUUGCUGUUUUGACGUUACCAACAGAAUAAGCACCGGCUAACUUCGUG